UGAGGAAUAUUGGUCAAUGGGCGAGAGCCUGAACCAGCCAAGUAGCGUGCAGGAUGACGGCCCUAUGGGUUGUAAACUGCUUUUAUAAGGGAAUAAAGUGAGUCUCGUGAGACUUUUUGCAUGUACCUUAUGAAUAAGGACCGGCUAAUUCCGUGCCAGCAGCCGCGGUAAUACAGAAGGUCCGGGCGUUAUCCGGAUUUAUUGGGUUUAAAGGGAGCGUAGGCCGGAGAUUAAGCGUGUUGUGAAAUGUAGACGCUCAACGUCUGCACUGCAGCGCGAACUGGUUUCCUUGAGUACGCACAAAGUGGGCGGAAUUCGUGGUGUAGCGGUGAAAUGCUUAGAUAUCACGAAGAACUCCGAUUGCGAAGGCAGCUCACUGGAGCGCAACUGACGCUGAAGCUCGAAAGUGCGGGUAUCGAACAGGAUUAGAUACCCUGGUAGUCCGCACGGUAAACGAUGGAUGCCCGCUGUUGGUCUGAAUAGGUCAGCGGCCAAGCGAAAGCAUUAAGCAUCCCACCUGGGGAGUACGCCGGCAACGGUGAAACUCAAAGGAAUUGACGGGGGCCCGCACAAGCGGAGGAACAUGUGGUUUAAUUCGAUGAUACGCGAGGAACCUUACCCGGGCUUGAAUUGCAGAGGAAGGAUUUGGAGACAAUGACGCCCUUCGGGGCCUCUGUGAAGGUGCUGCAUGGUUGUCGUCAGCUCGUGCCGUGAGGUGUCGGCUUAAGUGCCAUAACGAGCGCAACCCCUCUCCUUAGUUGCCAUCAGGUCAUGCUGGGCACUCUGGGGACACUGCCACCGUAAGGUGUGAGGAAGGUGGGGAUGACGUCAAAUCAGCACGGCCCUUACGUCCGGGGCUACACACGUGUUACAAUGGCAGGUACAGAGAGAGGGUUGUACGUAAGUGCGAUCAAAUCCUUAAAGCCUGUCUCAGUUCGGACUGGGGUCUGCAACCCGACCCCACGAAGCUGGAUUCGCUAGUAAUCGCGCAUCAGCCAUGGCGCGGUGAAUACGUUCCC
Molecule: ribosomal RNA, 1019 nt
Filed under: uncultured bacterium
Lineage: Bacteria
Description: bacterial SSU rRNA
Rfam family: Bacterial small subunit ribosomal RNA
Source: RNAcentral